CGGGAAGUGGCGCAGUCCGGUUAGCGUACACGUCUGGGGGGCGUGUGGUCGCUGGUGCUUAUGAAGCAUAGCUUAUCAGCAUGCUGACAUGCGAAGCAUCGUCAGCAUUCGAAUCCAGUCAUCCCGA
Molecule: transfer RNA, 127 nt
Filed under: Bacteroidota bacterium
Lineage: Bacteria; Pseudomonadati; Bacteroidota
Description: Bacteroidetes bacterium (activated sludge metagenome) tRNA-Pro
Rfam family: tRNA
About the family: Transfer RNA (tRNA) molecules are approximately 80 nucleotides in length. Their secondary structure includes four short double-helical elements and three loops (D, anti-codon, and T loops).
Source: RNAcentral